AAGGCGAUCGGGGAGGCGACUUCUGCGUGCUCCGCGGAGGUGCGCAGGCGCCGUGGCCCGACUGGGGACUUUGUUCUCCGCGGAGAGACCCAAGGGCGGUGCCGGUGGCUAGCUGCGCACGCGCGCCGCCUCAUUUCCGGUGCUCUCUUUCGCUGGGUCGCUCGGGUCGGCUUCGGUCGCCGUCGCUCCCGCUCUCCCACCCCCGCCAACCGCCGCUCGGGCCUUUGCCGCUGCCGCGUCGCUUCCUCGAUCCCUUCGAUCGCACAUCCUCCCCAAUGCAGCGCCGGGACGACCCCGCCGCACGCAUGAGCCGGUCCUCGGGCCGCAGCGGCACCAUGGACCCCUCAGGUGCCCACCCCUCAGUGCGUCAGGCACCGUCUCGGCAGCCACCCCUGCCUCACCGGUCCCGGGGUGGCGGAGGGGGGUCCCGGGGGGGCGCCCGGGCCUCUCCCGCCACGCAGCCGCCACCGCUGCUGCCGCCCUCGGCCACGGGUCCCGACGCGACAGUGGGCGGUCCAGCGCCGACCCCGCUGCUGCCUCCCUCAGCAACUGCCUCCGUCAAGAUGGAGCCGGAGAACAAGUACCUUCCCGAACUCAUGGCUGAGAAGGACUCGCUCGACCCGUCCUUCACUCACGCCAUGCAGUUGCUGACGGCAGAAAUUGAGAAGAUUCAGAAAGGAGAUUCAAAAAAGGACGAUGAGGAGAAUUACUUGGAUUUAUUUUCUCACAAGAACAUGAAGCUGAAGGAGCGGGUGCUGAUACCUGUCAAGCAGUAUCCCAAGUUCAAUUUUGUGGGGAAGAUCCUUGGACCACAAGGGAAUACAAUCAAAAGACUGCAAGAAGAGACUGGUGCAAAGAUUUCUGUUUUGGGCAAGGGCUCAAUGAGAGACAAAGCCAAGGAGGAAGAGCUGCGCAAAGGUGGAGACCCCAAAUACGCCCAUUUGAAUAUGGAUCUGCAUGUCUUCAUUGAAGUCUUUGGACCCCCAUGUGAGGCUUAUGCUCUUAUGGCCCAUGCUAUGGAGGAAGUCAAGAAGUUUCUAGUACCAGAUAUGAUGGAUGAUAUUUGCCAGGAGCAGUUUCUAGAGCUUUCCUACUUGAAUGGAGUACCAGAGCCCUCUCGCGGACGUGGAGUGCCAGUGAGAGGCCGGGGAGCUGCACCUCCUCCUCCACCUGUUCCAAGGGGCCGUGGUGUUGGACCACCUCGGGGGGCUUUAGUGCGUGGUACACCAGUGAGAGGAGCCAUCACCAGAGGUGCCACUGUGACUCGAGGGGUGCCACCCCCACCUACUGUGAGGGGUGCUCCAGCACCAAGAGCACGGACAGCAGGCAUCCAGAGAAUACCUUUGCCUCCACCCCCUGCACCAGAGACAUAUGAAGAAUAUGGAUACGAUGAUACAUAUGCAGAACAGAGUUACGAAGGCUACGAAGGCUACUACAGCCAGAGCCAAGGGGACUCAGAAUAUUAUGACUAUGGACAUGGGGAGGUUCAAGAUUCUUAUGAAGCAUAUGGCCAAGAUGACUGGAAUGGGACCAGGCCGUCGCUGAAGGCCCCUCCAGCUAGGCCAGUGAAGGGAGCAUACAGAGAACACCCAUAUGGACGUUAUUAAAAACAAACAUGAGGGGAAAAUAUCAGUUAUGAGCAAAGUUGUUACUGAUUUCUUGUAUCUCCCAGGAUUCCUGUUGCUUUACCCACAACAGACAAGUGAUUGAAAACUCCUGAGGGAUUUCCUGGAGUAGAAUGGGUAGUGAAGACCCCUGUCAGGAACAGCAGCCUGAGAGUUAGGACCCAUAAGGCUUCUUGCGUACACAUAUGCAGAGUACUCCCCAGCCAAGUGAACAAGGUGGAAAAAGGUGGUGGUGGUGGAUGUUUUGCCCAGCCGUCAGAGGACUCCGGAAACCAGGAGAGCUGCCUGCUGUGUCAAGGCUGGCCCGAGGGCAUUUGCUGAGCACAGAGAAACCCUGGAGAGGAGACCAGCAGUCUUUCCCACCCCACCUCUCCAUCUGAUUUACCCACAGAAAGCCAGCCAGGAUCCCCUAAAAGAGGCUCUAGGCCCAGAAUGGAGUCCUUAGGGAUGCAGGGGACUGUGAUGCUAACAGUUAAACUUGCUCAGGACUUCAAAGAAUUGAAGGGGACUAACAGUAUCCUCAGCAUGGCCUCCUAGAUGUGAAUAAACUGGCAACUCCUACCAUGUCAGUCCCAGUUUGCCUGCUUCCCCUUAGUCCCCAGCAGAACUGUCUGGAACAUGGUGCCGCCACCUCCUGUUUCCCACCCUGCCACACGUGUGUUGUGGUGCCAGCCUUGGACACAUCCAGAGGGCUCCCAGAGACAGGCUGCUCCCCGCCUCUGUGACAGGCUGAGAGCCAGGUGAGAAGGUCCCUGCACUUGGGCAAGUUGUUUAACCUCGGAGCCUGUUCUCUCUUUGUCAUUGAUUACUAACCUUGUCCAAGAAAGCUCCUCAAGAGUAGGGUAGGGCUUUUCCCACUUCACCUCUGGACUAUAUCUCUUCCCCAACAAACAUCUGGCACUAAGGAGCUCAAUAAAAACAGCCAAGUGAUGAUUGGCCCCACACUGGUAGCUUCUAUCAGCUUUGGGAGAGAGCCAGAGUUCCCCUGUCUAGCUCCCCUCUGCUUCCAGCUAAACUGGGCUAUUUGUCCUAACAUUUUCUUUUGGAGAAUUGGAAAGUCAGCCUUUGCUAGACUUCUGGUUUCCUAUGACCUAUGCCAUAGUCUGAUUUUAACCCUGAGCUUCUGAGAGGAAUGCUGCACCCUUCCUUCACUGCCUUCUGGUUAGUUAUCCUAACAAAGGAACGAGGGGAAGGGCUGAGUUUGGAGAGAGCAUGCCUGCAUUUUAACUGUGCCUGAGGCAUUCUAAUGAGCUUUGGAUUCAUUCUUAGCAAGAAAGGGACCUUGAAAUCAGUUGAUUUACUUUGGGCAAGUUUUUUAACCUCUAAGCCCAUUUUUAUCUUCAUUAUUGAUAAAGUAAAUAACAGCUAAUAAUUUAUUGAAUGCUCAGUUGUACCAGGCACAAUGUCAAGCAUUGCGUGUACUAUUUCACUUUAAUACUUCAAUCCAUUACUCUCAUUUUAGAGAUGAAGAAACAGAGGCUCAAGGAGGAUAACUUGCCUAAGGUUUAGAAAAGAUGCUAUCAUGCUUCAUAGUCCCUGUGUUUGACCUGUUUGUACCUCUUAACAGCCACAAGUACUUUGAAACAGUAAAGCACUGUGUUUGAGAGACUUAGGGUGACAAACCAGGUUUACCCAGGACUGAGGAGGUUCCUGGGAUGUUGGACUUCCAGUCCUAAAACAGGAACGUCCCAGGCAAACUGAGUUGUGUUUGUCAAUCUGUGUUUACAAUGAGACUCGGUACAGGUUUGGCCACUGGGGUUUCAUUUUCCCCAGCUUCUUGGUCUCCUAGGCCUCAUCUUGUGGCCAUAUUCUUUACCUAGCAAUUGGACCUGCUUCAGUCCAGCAGGCAGAGGAGGAGUUUGGGGUGGGGAGUCAGAAACAGAUGGCAUCCUGGUCAUAGAAAGAUGGAGGUACAAAGCUUGGGUCAUUAUUUGAGAAGCCAUUGCUAGGAUCCUAGGAAGCCUUGCCCACAAUCCAUAAAUGCAGGGUAUCUUAUUGGCAGCCAUGGAAUUACAAGAAAGCUCCCUGGGCCAGAGCCAAACAGAUCUGGAUUCAAAUCCUAGCCCCUCACUUGCUGUGUAUUUUUCUGGGCCUGUUUACUCUGUAAAAGUAGAAUGGUAAUCCCAAUCUACUGUAUGGGAUCUGAGGAGCAACUUCAGUGUGUGUGAAAUGCCUAGCACAGGGUCUGUGCAUAAUACUGCUCAACACUUGUUUCCUUCCUCCUCUUUUCCAGCUUGUGUUUCUUACCCAGCCCUGUCACCUGUCACGUCUGUCACAUACUCCCUCCUCUCCUUACCACUUGCAGCCCUAGGGAUUUUCCUUUGCGAGCCCUGACCUAGUGGGCUUGGCCCACCCACCCAGCUGCCCUACCUGUCAGUCACCUCCCCUGCAAGCAGAGAAGGGAUGACAUCAGCUUUUCCCCCCUCCCCUAUGGGAAGCCUCUGGACUGUUUUGAGCCAUAAAUAUUUUAGCUGGGCCUUUCUCUGGCUGUUGCCAGGGUGAUGGACUCUCAGGGGACCAGAGUGGGAGUGUGCAGGCGGGGUUCAGCAACCUGGGGCCUAGCAGCAGAACUGGCCCUGGAGGGGUGGGUGUGAAGCCUGGCCAAGAGCCGGUGCUUGCAGCAGUUCUGAGGACUGUUGCUUUGUCUGCCUGCCUUCCCUUUCCUGGGCCCCUACAAGCCGUUCCUGCUGCUUCCAGCCCCAGCCUCUUGAGUGCUACUUGAUCUUGGGUAAAUUGCUAAAUAUCUCCGGGCCUUCAUUUUAACAUUUGUAAUGGAAAAGCUCCUUAGUGUGAGUAAGUGGAGAAGAAAAGGUAAAGGUUUUGUAGAAAUUCUAUGAAACCCUAGUUUGGUUUGUAAGCCAUGAUUGGAGAAGCUUGACUCCCUAGUCUUUUCUGAUAGACCUACAGGCUGGGGUCCCAGGGCAAUGUGGAUGCUUCUCUAAAGGUCAGUUGUUGGGUAUGGCACUGCCUCCCAUUCUCCUUCCCCAUUCCUCAUGCUUAUAGCCUCAGCUCCUUUUCUAAAGUUCCCAGGCCUAGCUAGACUCCUGGCCUGGCAUGGGGUAUUCUGAGAAGGAAUUUGGCCUUUAUGAGCAGAGCUGAUGAAAGCCUUUUUGCUUGAGAUACAGAAACUUGGGCCCCCAAACUGGAUCUGGCCCUCACUCUACGCACCAUCCUAGAGAUCUUAAAUCUGGCUAGCUGCUGAGCUCUACCUUCUGGCAACAUGUCCCACCCCUCUCCUUGGAAUGGGUCUUAGAAACAAGAGGGCCAGAGAGGGGGCACGUGGAUCCAUGCCCCACCCCUACCAUUGUGAACCUCUGCAUCUGAUCCAGAAUUCUACAUCCCCUGCCCAACCCUGCCCACCAGUUUUCCUGUGGAGCUGGAGGUCUGGUUCAUUUGUAUCAAGCUCCCUCUGGUGGUUGAGAUGUGCAUUGCAGGGAGGUAAGAUCUCAGACCAAAUUGCAGGCCACCCUGAAAGGUGGGAUGGUUUGCUCUAUACCAAGAAGAAUCCUUGAUCUCAACUAAUGACAGUCAUUCCAUUUCCUAUACAGGAUAACUCCCAUAUGUUUUCAUCUCUCUGUCAUUAAUCCUUAGAAUUCAUUGACAUAAUUAGCCUAGUUUUACAGAUGAAACAUGGUUAGAGAGGUGAAAUCAAAUCUAGACUUCACUGUAUGUAGUAUGUAGCAUUUAAGAUCCUCAAGUGAUAAGAACUUAACCUGUUUUUCCAGCCUCAUAAUCAGUUCCUCUCAAGCCAAAAUGACUUGCUCUUCUGGAACAUAGCUUGCAUCUAGACCUUUGCUCAUGCUGUUUUCUCUAUCUUUGUUCCUCCCCCCACCCCGCCCGCCCCAAGUACCUUACCUGCCAAAAUCCUAUCCAAGUUUGAAAAACUAAAGAAAUACAGUAUUUUUUCAAGCUUGCAUAUAUUAUCUUUGUAAUAAUCAAGUUUUAUAAAACAUGGGAAUACAAAUGUCUAAAUGAGAACAGGUAGGUGGGUUGUCCCUGAAAUGUGGAAGGUUGGAUGGGGAGACUAACAUAUACCUGGAAGUGAAAAUGGCCCAGAAAAUUAGAAGAACGCAACAUCUGGAUUCUCUUAUAGGUUCUUGUAGUUAAAAAAAAAAGAUGAAAGUAUUCUUAGUGGCAGAAGAAAGCAAAUCUCUGGGAAGCUGAGAUAGAGCUUUAGGUGACAUUUCUUCAAAGUCUUUGAUCUUAAAUUCACAUUAGUUUUCUUUGCACUUCGUAAUAUAUCCAAGUUUUAAUAAUACAAACAAACUUACUUGUAAAACA
Molecule: non-coding RNA, 5906 nt
Organism: Vicugna pacos (alpaca)
Lineage: Eukaryota; Metazoa; Chordata; Mammalia; Artiodactyla; Camelidae
Source: RefSeq, a predicted model, not a curated record